UUCCGGUUGAUCCUGCCGGACCCGACUGCUAUCAGAGUGGGACUAAGCCAUGCGAGUCAACGCAGCAAUGCGUGGCAUACGGCUCAGUAACACGUAGUCAACAUGCCCAGGGGACGUGGAUAACCUCGGGAAACUGAGGAUAAACCGCGAUAGGCCACGGUUUCUGGAAUGGAUCAUGGCUGAAACCUACAUGGCCCCUGGAUUGGACUGCGGCCGAUCAGGCUGUUGGUGAGGUAAUGGCCCACCAAACCUGUAACCGGUACGGGCUCUGAGAGGAGGAGCCCGGAGAUGGGCACUGAGACAAGGGCCCAGGCCCUAUGGGGCGCAGCAGGCGCGAAACCUCUGCAAUAGGCGAAAGCUUGACAGGGUUACUCUGAGUGAUGUCCGCUAAGGGCAUCUUUAGGCACUUCUAAAAAUAGUGUAGACAUAAGGGGUGGAGCAAGUCUGGCUCUCACGCCGAACGAGAGAUAAUAACCAGACACCCCAGAGAUGG
This 493-nucleotide ribosomal RNA is filed under the name uncultured archaeon. Its description in RNAcentral is "bacterial SSU rRNA". It matches the Rfam family "Archaeal small subunit ribosomal RNA", at positions 1 to 494 of the family's 1478-position model. The record is from RNAcentral.